RNAcentral lists this long non-coding RNA (1359 nucleotides) under Felis catus (domestic cat). RNAcentral describes it as "lncRNA (ENSFCAG00000050821.1)". The record is from RNAcentral. Lineage: Eukaryota; Metazoa; Chordata; Mammalia; Carnivora; Felidae.
AUUAGGCUUCUUUGGUGUGUUAAGUUAGUUACUCUGGAAGCACUGUCAAACAAAUAUUAAGACUUAGGUUAUAGCUCAGUAAAUGCUAUAACUAUCCUAGAGAUUAUAUGCAAUUCCUAGUUUUAAUGUAUUUUUGGUAUAAUGUCAUCACUUGAUAUUCUGAUUAUUGAAGUGUUAUGUGCUACAGAAAUAACUGAAUUUCCUCAUCAAUUGCAUUAGAUCUUUUAAUCAUGUUAAUUUCUGAGUCUUUUUGUCAAAAUUUUGUGACUCUUGGACUGCUAUAACUACCAGUAGACAGAUGAUCCUUUCUACUCAAGGAGGCUCUGUUUCCCCUGAACUCUGUCUUUCCCUUUUGUAACUACCCCAUACCUACCUCAACUGAGCAAUGUUAACCCAUAGGUAGGGACAUCUCUACACCCCUAUUCAGCAGGAAGAAGUUACAGAAGAUAAGACCAUCCACCCUCAUCAAUAUUAAAGAUUAUAAGGGCUAAAAUUGUUCAAGAGGGAAUGAUGUGGGAAAUAAAGCCAGAAGGGAAUGGCAGAUAAAAUUAAAUUUCCUUAUAAUCCACAAGGCCAAGCAAUUGUAGAACUAAGCACAUAAUAAACUUAAAAAUAUGUUUAAAAAUGUGGGGAUGACCCAUGGUUGUCUACAUUAAAGCCUCAACUUCUCCUUGAGCAUGCUAUGAUCACUCUUAAAUUUUUGAAUCUUGACCCUCAAGGACUAAUCACAGCUGAGCUACAUUCUUCUAAACUAGAUAAACCCUCUCAUCUUCUCGUGCUGGUUAAAACUUCUCACCUGGGUUUGAGGAUAUGUUUGUGUUCUUUCAGAUUCCCAACCUCUCUGGAUUCCCUCUCAUUUGGUGAAGCUGUGUCAUGGCAUGAUGGACACCCCCUGAAAUCCCCCUCCAAACCGCUCGACAGCAAAAGAAGGAUCAGAAGCUCAUCAUGAUGGUCCUUGCAUGUAAACUUAAGAUGACAAAAAAAAAAAAAAAAAAAGAAGAAGAAGAACUGUGGGGAAAUAAGCUGUACUUGCUAAAUGGGUUAGAAAAAAGCUUAAGGUGGAAAGCCAUCACCACGAGGUGAAAGUGCCCGAGGUUAGCUAGAGGGAUAGUGUGAUGGGAUCACGAGUAAUUUGUUAUAUAACCUGCAGUAAAUUACUUUCCAUCUGACUCCGAUAUACUAUUGUACUUUUAUCACGAAGUCCACUUGCCUCCCAGACCUUUUGCUUCUUACACAAGCUAAUGAUUACUGUAUGAUUUUUUUCUCUAAAUUCAUGUGUGUAAGAUCUUGUUUUCUUCAUGUUCACCAUGUGGGUAAUAUCUUGUGAGCUCAAUAAAUAUGGAGAUAAACCCCUGUUCA